RNAcentral lists this transfer RNA (64 nucleotides) under Lachesilla sp. LaspMLY. Its description in RNAcentral is "tRNA-Leu". Lineage: Eukaryota; Metazoa; Arthropoda; Insecta; Psocodea; Lachesillidae. The record is from RNAcentral.
AUUAUAUUGGCAGACUAGUGCAUUGAAUUUAGAAUUCAAAUAUAUAAGAAUAUUAUAUAUAAUA